RNAcentral lists this long non-coding RNA (1919 nucleotides) under Citrus x clementina. RNAcentral describes it as "Citrus clementina (C. clementina) long non-coding RNA (CCLE_LNC001476)". Lineage: Eukaryota; Viridiplantae; Streptophyta; Magnoliopsida; Sapindales; Rutaceae. The record is from RNAcentral.
UCUAUCAUAUCUCAUAAAUCCUUUACAAUAUCCAAUCAUCAGCCUAUCACUAGAAAAACAAUUAAUCCAUAAAAAAAACAUUGAUAUUAAAUUCCCGAAAGCCACCAACAUCACCUGAAAAAUAGAUUAACCAAAAAAAUACAGAUUAACAUGUUGACCACAUACAAUUAAUCAAAUUCACAAUAAAGUUCACCAAUGUGUAAUUGAUUUAAUCAGCUUUGAUACCAAAGGGAAAAUGAGGAUAAAUAACCCCAGAGGAAAAAAAAUCACAUUUGACAAUUGACAUAAUGAAGCAGUAAACCUUAUGAGUUGUAAAAGAGAAAUAGGAAAGGGAAAAUAAGGGACAUCUUCAAUGCAUGUAGUUUAUAUUAACUUUUUUUUUUGUUCCUAAAGAUGUAUUAAGAGGAACAAGGAUAUUCAUUCAAUGCAUGCAUCUCCGAUUUGUUAAUCUAAUUAUUCUCCUAUUCCUGUUAGUUAAUAAGGGAGUCAAUAAGAUUUUAAUUUAACAAUAUAGCAGUGACAAUUAACUAGGUCUUCAUUAAGAGUUGUUGAAUUAGAAAAGAUUUAAGUAUAAACAAACUAUUGUGCAACAUAAUACAUACUGAAGAGAAAUAUCGAACCAAGUGCAAUGCCAAAUACAAGAAAAGAGAAUUUUUAGUCUAGCCUUCUAUAGAUUUCAAUUCUGAAUUUCUUUAUGCACCAAAAGGAGUAUAUUUCAAAGACUACAAAUUAAUUAAUGCAAAACAUCUAAAAACAUAACAACUUUCCAUACAUAAUUAAACAAAAUCCACCAAAAUCAAGCUAAUAAAAAGAAAGGUAAAAGUUCUAAAAAUCCAAAAGAGGAUAUCAAAAAAUUCUAGAAUCACCAGAAUCUCCCCAUUCUAUCAACCUUAAUGCCAUGCUUGUAGGCGUGUAAACACUGACCCUAUCCAACUCAAAGAAAGAAAACGCGGGCUACUAUUCUCAUUUGGAUUACAUCACAUUAGCAUUUGAGAUAUUUUUACUUUAAUGUUUCAAAGAGAAGAAUUUUUGUUAAAGCAAGAUUUUCAAUAAAUAUGUUUAAAGGAAUGCUCAUUGUCCAAGGAUUUAAAAGGAUACCGAGUAUAAGUUUGUUUACAAUAUAUUUUUUAUUUUUCUUUUUUCUUGUUAAACUACGAUAAACUGAAAAAUACAAGUAUAUCUUGAUUUUAAAAAUCAACCAAGACAAGAAAAUAGAAUGAACAACUAUUCUUAUAGGAAACGAAUGGAAAAUCUCUAAAUGUAGUCAUUGGUUUAUUAAGGAUAGUUGGAACCAUAAACAGUGGAUAAGUUUCUAAUGAAAAUAAUAAAAUCCAUCAUCUAUAUAAAUUGAGAAAAAAUAAAUUUCAUGUCAAAGAUCUAAAAAAUUUGAAGGAAACCUGAUAGUAAAACAAAUAUUCAAUUCAUAAUAGUAUGAAUAAUAAAAACAUUAUUGUCAACUAGAAAAGUAAAGUUGCUUUGUGUUUUUGUCAGCCAGUCCUAUUGUUUUUAGCAAAACAACAAACCUUAGCAUUUUAAUUGGUAACAAAUCAGAACCAACAUAAAAAUAAAAUUAGAAAAGAUAUAGAGAUGUAUUCUACCAUUGUGCAAUGCUGGUAUCGUCACCGUCUAUUCAAUAAAGAUCAAUGGCCCCCUUAGACAGGACAUAACUCGAGUGAUAGGAAAAGAAAAUUAAAUAGUUGUCAUGAGCUAUCCAAUCAAAUAUUUCAAAGAUGAUGCUAAAACAAACCAAUGUAAAAACAUUAUUACCUUGAACCAUUAUCACCAAAGCAGUGAAGUCAAACCACAGUGGCUUGCUGUCUACCUUUGCCUGACUACAUAGGUCCUUCCGAACUGAUCUAGUGUUUUUCUAAUAGUUUUAACCCCUGAAAAAAAAGUCAUCACAAAAUUCAAUAAUCAAG